UGGCGGACGGGUGAGGAAUACAUCGGAAUCUACUUUUUCGGUGGGGGAUAACGUAGGGAAACUUACGCUAAUACCGCAUACGACCUACGGGUGAAAGCAGGGGAUCUUCGGACCUUGCGCGAUUGAAUGAGCCGAUGUCGGAUUAGCUAGUUGGCGGGGUAAAGGCCCACCAAGGCGACGAUCCGUAGCUGGUCUGAGAGGAUGAUCAGCCACACUGGAACUGAGACACGGUCCAGACUCCUACGGGAGGCAGCAGUGGGGAAUAUUGGACAAUGGGCGCAAGCCUGAUCCAGCCAUACCGCGUGGGUGAAGAAGGCCUUCGGGUUGUAAAGCCCUUUUGUUGGGAAAGAAAUCCAGCUGGUUAAUACCCGGUUGGGAUGACGGUACCCAAAGAAUAAGCACCGGCUAACUUCGUGCCAGCAGCCGCGGUAAUACGAAGGGUGCAAGCGUUACUCGGAAUUACUGGGCGUAAAGCGUGCGUAGGUGGUCGUUUAAGUCCGUUGUGAAAGCCCUGGGCUCAACCUGGGAACUGCAGUGGAUACUGGGCGACUAGAAUGUGGUAGAGGGUAGCGGAAUUCCUGGUGUAGCAGUGAAAUGCGUAGAGAUCAGGAGGAACAUCCAUGGCGAAGGCAGCUACCUGGACCAACUAUUGACACUGAGGCACGAAAGCGUGGGGAGCAAA
This 682-nucleotide ribosomal RNA is filed under the name Stenotrophomonas sp. GA92-2. RNAcentral describes it as "bacterial SSU rRNA". It matches the Rfam family "Bacterial small subunit ribosomal RNA", at positions 96 to 772 of the family's 1533-position model. Lineage: Bacteria; Pseudomonadati; Pseudomonadota; Gammaproteobacteria; Lysobacterales; Lysobacteraceae. The record is from RNAcentral.